CAAACGAGCAUCGACAUGUGAACGUAAAUGGCGGCUAGCGGCUUUUGUCGUUAAGCCAAGUGAUGUCGAGG
This 71-nucleotide ribosomal RNA is filed under the name Polyascus gregaria. RNAcentral's name for it is "partial 5.8S ribosomal RNA". Lineage: Eukaryota; Metazoa; Arthropoda; Thecostraca; Sacculinidae. The record is from RNAcentral.